UGGCAAACGGGUGAGUAACACGUGGGUGACCUGCCUUAGAGCGGGGGAUAACGUCCCGAAAGGGUCGCUAAUACCGCAUGACAUCCUGCCUUUGAACAGGCGGUGAUCAAUGCUGGGGAUCGCAAGACCUAGCGCUCAAAGAGGGGCCCGCGCCUGAUUAGCUAGUUGGUGGGGUAACGGCUCACCAAGGCAACGAUCAGUAUCCGGCCUGAGAGGGCGGACGGACACACUGGGACUGAGACACGGCCCAGACCCCUACGGGAGGCAGCAGUGGGGAAUUGUUCGCAAUGGGCGCAAGCCUGACGACGCAACGCCGCGUGGAGGAUGAAGAUCUUCGGGUCGUAAACUCCUUUCGAUCGAGAC
RNAcentral lists this ribosomal RNA (363 nucleotides) under uncultured Acidobacteriota bacterium. RNAcentral describes it as "bacterial SSU rRNA". It matches the Rfam family "Bacterial small subunit ribosomal RNA", at positions 96 to 446 of the family's 1533-position model. Lineage: Bacteria; Pseudomonadati; Acidobacteriota. The record is from RNAcentral.